Molecule: long non-coding RNA, 1047 nt
Filed under: Homo sapiens (human)
Lineage: Eukaryota; Metazoa; Chordata; Mammalia; Primates; Hominidae
Description: novel transcript
Source: RNAcentral
GGGGGCGCGGGGGACGCGCCGGGCUGGGCUGUGGGGUCGACCCCCUGCCUCUCUUCUCCGCGGGUGUGCAGAUCGCCGCCGGCCGAGGCUUGCCGCCGCCGCCCCGACUGGGGGAAUGAGCAGGCGCCAGGUCUUGAAUUCCUGUCAGGGCCGGUCUGGGGGCUCCCUGCUGAAGCCCCUGUCCCUGAUCCCGCAACCUCCCGCGUGCGUUGGGAAGGGGUCGCGGGUAGCGGCCGUCCUUUGGAUGCACGUGUGAUGGCUUUUGGCUUAAUUUCACAUUGUUUUGUUUGUUUUUUGAGACAGGGUCUCUUUCGCCCAGGCUGGAGUGUGAUCACGGCUACUGCAGCCUCGAUCUCCAGGGCUCAAGUGAUUCUCUCACGUCGGCCUCGCAGUAACUGGGACCACAGACAUGAGCCACCAUGCCUGGCUUUUUUUUGUUUUGUUUUGUUUUGUUUUUUGUAGAGACAGGGCGGGGUGUGAGACUCUCAUCUUGUUGCCCAAGCUGGUCUCCUGAGCUCAAGGAUCUGCCCUCCUCGGCCUCCCAAAGCGCUGGGAUUACAGCUUGAUACCCUACCUUGUUUUAACCUGAUUGACUCGCUCUUAGCUGAGAGAGCGGGACAGACUCCAUUUUGGUUUCUUCGCUUGCAGCACCUUGUCCCCCUCCCUUAAGGACAUAACUGGUGCAGACUGACACCAAGCACAUCCAGGAAUGUGCUUACUGAUAAGAUACUGAGGCAAGCUGUACCAGCAGCUCCUGGGAACGCGCUCGGUUGAUGGUACCCAAAGCCCCUGCGUUUAUCUCUUUGUGAUAAUUUAAGCCCCAUGCACCUGGAACUGUUUAUUUUCCUGUAACUGUUUCUAUAACCAUUUAUCUUUUAACUCUUUGCCUGUUCUGCUUCUGUAAAAAUUGCUUCAGCUAGACUACCCCUUCCCUAUUUAGACCAAGGUAUAAAAAGAAAUCUAGCCCCUUCUUCAGGGCCGAGAGAAUUUUGAGCUGUAGUCGUCUCUCGGUCGCCGGCAAUAAAGGACUCCUGAAUUAGUCUCAAA